Molecule: ribosomal RNA, 468 nt
Filed under: uncultured bacterium
Lineage: Bacteria
Description: partial 16S ribosomal RNA
Rfam family: Bacterial small subunit ribosomal RNA
Source: RNAcentral
GACGAACGCUGGCGGCGUGCUUAACACAUGCAAGUCGAACGGAAAGGCCCUGCUUUUGUGGCGUGCUCGAUUGGCGAACGGGUGAGUAACACGUGAGUAACCUGCCCUUGACUUUGGGAUAACUUCAGGAAACUGGGGCUAAUACCCGAUAGGAUCUCCUGCUGCAUGGUGGUGGUUGGAAAGUUUCGGCGGUUGGGGAUGGACUCGCGGCUUAUCAGCUGGUUGGUGGGGUUGUGGCUUACCACGGCUUUGACGGGUAGCCGGCCUGAGAGGGUGACCGGCCACAUUGGGACUGCGAUACGGCGCAGAAUCCUACGGGCGGCAGCAGUGGGGAAUAUUGCACAAUGGGCGGAAGCCUGAUGUAGAAACGCCGCGUGCGGAAUGACGGCCUUCGAGUUGUAAACCGCUUUCGCCUGUGACGUAGAGUGAGUGACGGUAAUGGGUAAAGAAGCACCGGCUAACUACGUG